RNAcentral lists this ribosomal RNA (325 nucleotides) under uncultured eukaryote. RNAcentral describes it as "partial 18S ribosomal RNA". It matches the Rfam family "Eukaryotic small subunit ribosomal RNA", at positions 1470 to 1796 of the family's 1831-position model. The record is from RNAcentral.
CCCUUAGAUGUCCUGGGCCGCACGCGCGCUACACUGAUGCAUUCAACGAGUAUUUCCUUGGCCGAGAGGCCUGGGCAAUCUUUUAAACCUGCAUCGUGAUAGGGAUAGAUUAUUGCAAUUAUUAAUCUUGAACGAGGAAUUCCUAGUAAACGUAAAUCAUCAAUUUGCAUUGAUUACGUCCCUGCCCUUUGUACACACCGCCCGUCGCACCUACCGAUUGAAUGGUCCGGUGAAAUCUCGGGAUUGUGGCCAGUUCACUUUAUUGGGAGUUGGCUGCGAGAACUUGCUUAAACCUUAUCAUUUAGAGGAAGGUGAAGUCGUAACA